AAGGGCACCACAAGAACGCGUGGAGCAUGUGGCUUAAUUUGACUCAACGCGGGAAAUCUUACCGGGUCCGGACACACUGAGGAUUGACAGGCGUUUGUGGUUUUUUCCACUCGUUGGAAUAUUCCACUAUAAAUAUGCUAGUCCUUUCAUGAUUGUGUGAUAGGUGGUGCAUGGCCGUUCUUAGUUCGUGGAGUGAUCUGUCUGCUUAAUUGCGUUUCACAAAGGACUUUCUAAUUUCUAUCAGCUGCACGUGGGCUCUUUUGUCUUCUGUUGCACUGUGGAUAAGUAUAGUCCUGAAGGCAACGAACGUGACCGCAGCCUCUUGUUGCCUCCUUUUUUUAUAAACAUGAGUAUUUUUUGUAAUUCAUUUUACAUUGGUACUCUGCAUGGAGUUUUGCAAACUAGAGGGACCGCUGACAACUUUUAAAACAGAGGAAGGUUGCGGCAAUAACAGGUCUGUGAUGCCCUUAGAUGUUCCGGGCUGCACACGUGCUACAAUGAUUAUUGCAGUGAGCAUCUAAUUUUUAUAAGACUUUGAACUUGUGUUUAAACUUCGGUUUUUACACAGUUCAGUCAUUGACCUGCUUCGAAAGUAAGCAGGUAAUCAAUUCGAAGUAAUGAUUUCCUUUUCGCACAUACUUAUAUCUCUUGUUUGCGGCCGUGCUUUCAGCUUGUUCUGAUAGUAUUGUUUGUCGCCUGGAGAUAUGUGCUCCAUUAAUUCAUGGUGGGGACAGACCAUUGUUAAUUGUUGGUCUCGGUCUCAACUAGGAAUGCCUUGUACGGGUCUUUGGUUCAACAAACCACCCGGAAUAUGUCCCUGCCCUUUGUACACACCGCCCGUCGCUCUUACCGAUGGACUUCUCUGUGAGUAUAGAGGACUGGCUAGCUAUUUAUAGCAAGCUAUGGAAAUCUACGCGAACAGUGUGGUCUAAAGGAACGAGAAGUCGAACAAGGCA
This 956-nucleotide ribosomal RNA is filed under the name Vellaria sp. 10126.32. Its description in RNAcentral is "bacterial SSU rRNA". It matches the Rfam family "Eukaryotic small subunit ribosomal RNA", at positions 1160 to 1801 of the family's 1831-position model. The record is from RNAcentral. Lineage: Eukaryota; Foraminifera; Allogromiidae.